Molecule: ribosomal RNA, 484 nt
Filed under: uncultured bacterium
Lineage: Bacteria
Description: partial 16S ribosomal RNA
Rfam family: Bacterial small subunit ribosomal RNA
Source: RNAcentral
AUUGAACGCUGGCGGCAGGCCUAACACAUGCAAGUCGAGCGGCUGAAGGGAGCUUGCUCCUGGAUUCAGCGGCGGACGGGUGAGUAAUGCCUAGGAAUCUGCCUGGUAGUGGGGGAUAACGUCCGGAAACGGGCGCUAAUACCGCAUACGUCCUGAGGGAGAAAGUGGGGGAUCUUCGGACCUCACGCUAUCAGAUGAGCCUAGGCCGGAUUAGCUAGUUGGUGGGGUAAAGGCCUACCAAGGCGACGAUCCGUAACUGGUCUGAGAGGAUGAUCAGUCACACUGGAACUGAGACACGGUCCAGACUCCUACGAGAGGCACCAGUGGGGAAUAUUAGACGAUGGGCGAAAGCCUGAUCCAGCCAUGCCGCGUGAGUGAAGAAGGUCUUCGGAUUGUAAAGCACUUUAAGUUGGGAGGAAGGGCAGUAAGUUAAUACCUUGCUGUUUUGACGUUACCAACAGAAUAAGCACCGGCUAACUUCGUG